GACGAACGCUGGCGGCGUGCUUAACACAUGCAAGUCGAACGGUAAGGCCCUUCGGGGUACACGAGUGGCGAACGGGUGAGUAACACGUGGGUGAUCUGCCCUGCACUUCGGGAUAAGCCUGGGAAACUGGGUCUAAUACCGGAUAGGACCACUGCCUGCAUGGGUGGUGGUGGAAAGCUUUUGCGGUGUGGGGUGGGCCCGCGGCCUAUCAGCUUGUUGGUGGGGUGAUGGGCUACCAAGGCGACGCCGGGUAGCCGGCCUGGGAGGGUGACCGGCCACACUGGGACGGAGAUACGGCGCAGGCUCCUACGGGAGGCAGCAGUGGGGAAUCUUGCACAAUGGGCGCAAGCCUGGUGCAGCGACGCCGCGUGAGGGAUGACGGCCUUCGGGUUGUAAACCUCUUUCAGCACCGACGAAGCGCAAGUGACGGUAGGUGCAGAAGAAGGACCGGCCAACUACGUGCCAGCCGCCGCAGUAA
This 478-nucleotide ribosomal RNA is filed under the name uncultured bacterium. Its description in RNAcentral is "partial 16S ribosomal RNA". It matches the Rfam family "Bacterial small subunit ribosomal RNA", at positions 28 to 523 of the family's 1533-position model. The record is from RNAcentral.